Molecule: long non-coding RNA, 1258 nt
Filed under: Mytilus galloprovincialis (Mediterranean mussel)
Lineage: Eukaryota; Metazoa; Mollusca; Bivalvia; Mytilida; Mytilidae
Source: RNAcentral
UUGUUGUAUUACUGCAUGCGUAGUUACGUUGGAAUAAAUGUUGAUGACUGCAUUCUUCUUUUAUUUAAACCAUUGUUGCAUGCUUGACUGGAAAGUACAUCUUGAUGCUGAAAUUAAAACAAGUUAUAUGGCUAUGAAAAACAUUGACAGAAAAAGUAAAACACAAACAAGAUGGACACACAAACAUGAGGGCCUGGACUGGGUAACCCCUGGGUUUACAAAAUAAAGAUUGAUUGUCAAAAAGUGCAGAAAAUGGCAUAAAAUAUAAAGAAUAGAGAAAUAACAUGCCAAAUAAAUAAAGAAUACAAAAUAAUUUGGUGCUAAAAUAUGUCAUUUUAAGAAUAAAGGGUAUAAAAAAAUGAAAUUACAAAAAUACCAAACUCCAAAGAAAAUAACAAAAAUACCAAACUCCAAAGAAAAUUACAAAACUACCAAACUCCAAAGAAAAUUACAAAAGUACCAAACUCCAAAGAAAAUUACAAACUCCAAUUAAAAAAAUACAAAAAUACCAAACUCCAAAGAAAAUUACAAAAAUACCAAACUCCAAAGAAAACAAAAUACACAAACUCCAAAGAAAAUUAAAAAAAGGAAGUCCGUUAUCAGAUCGCAUUAUCAAAAGAAUGGAAACAAAUGGCAUAUUCCUGACUUGGUACAGGCAUUUCUUUAUGUAGAUAAUGGAUUAAUCCUGGUUUUAUAUAGCUAGUACAAAACUUAUACACAAUAGAGUAAAAUGGCUUUAAAAAAAAAAAAAAAAAAAAGAAUUGAAGGACCCUCCCCCUUUUCUAGACCCUCACACAUGUGCAGCAGCAUCACACCACAUAUGUGUAGAAAUAAGCAUGUUUCCUUGACAGUGUAAAAUAAAAAUGUAUUAUCAUAUAUUAAAAAUUAUACCAAGUCGUGUGAUCAAUUUCUGCAUGUGGUUGCCAGGCGUAUGGAACAAAUCAGUAAUAAAAGUAAUAAAAAAAUGGCUGCCAGAACGAAUGAUAUGAAUACAUAUAUAAUGUAUGUAUUGUUCAUUUAAGUUUUAUAGCUGCACAAAAUGUAUUUCCGCUUUGAUCUAUACAAAGUUAUUCAGCUCCUGAUGGAGAUCUAUCAUGCAAUAAAUUAAAAAUUUACAAAUGAUGAUGUACAUAGUCGAUCAAAGUAUGAAAGGAUUUGGAAUAGAUGAUACAUAAAACAAUAGGCCAAGCAAAAUAAUGGGAACGAAUAGAUGAUACAUAAAACAAAUAGCCAAGCAAAAUAAUGGGUAUAAUUUUAU